CAGAUCAUUUCUGUUAGUUGAGAUUUCAUUUACACUGAAUUUUUUGUCGUGCAAUUCGGCAUGGUCUGA
RNAcentral lists this transfer RNA (69 nucleotides) under Heterotermes malabaricus. Its description in RNAcentral is "tRNA-Val". The record is from RNAcentral. Lineage: Eukaryota; Metazoa; Arthropoda; Insecta; Blattodea; Rhinotermitidae.